AUUAGGGUUUGCAAGGGUGUCACCAGUGCUUGGAAUGUUCUGGAGGUUGGGUGACGUGGGAAGUGGAGCGGCCGUAGGAGACCAAGUCACGUGCGUCUUCGUAAAUGCGUUCCCAGGUGGCGUGUGCGGAGUGGGUAGUUCAAGCGGUGUUGUCAGAGGGUUAUUAGGGUUGGCGGAAGGAGGUAAGUUUAGAAGAGGUGUGGGGUUCGUACUUGAGGUAGAUGAACUCUCUGGAGAUACCCCUUUGAACUGACGGAGAAAAGAGACGUGAAACACCGGGUGGAUACGUGAUGCCGAGGGAAGUAUGAGCUCGUAGGCCACCUUUCCUAUGCGACGCACAAUCUUGUAGGGACCUGAAAAACGAGGAGUGAGCUUGGGUGAGCGGCGCCGUUCAAGCGAGUGUUAACGGUUGCAGACGAAGCCAUACCCACUCGCCGACGGUGAAGGAGAGUUCAGUGCGGUGGUUGUCCGUCUGGGCACACAUCCGUUGGCGGUUGGGGUGGAGGUUGUGCUUCAAGUGAUGGAUGACGAUGGUGUGCUCGUGUAGCAGGUCCGAAAUCGUGGUGCCUGUUCGGGGUGUGUGGAGUAUGUCAAUGGCGGUGGGUGGCGGUCGUCCAUAUAAUGCGUGGAAAGGGGAGGUGUCAAUGGAGGAAUGGUAAGACAUAUUAUACCAUAACUCUGCGAGGUGAAGAAAUCUGUACCAUGAAUGGGGGUGGUGACUGGCAAAAUAGCAAAGGUAAACUUCUAAUCCCCUAUUCAAAACCUCUGUUUGACCAUCAGUUUGAGGAUGGUAUGAAGAACUGAAACGUACUGUUGUUCCUUGGGCUUUGAACAGGUUCCGCCAAAAGGUGCUCGUGAAAAUAGGGUCUCGGUCCGAUACGAUGCUCGUGGGGAGUCCAUGUAAGCGGCAGAUCUCAGCGGAGAACCUUUGAGCGAGGGUUUGGGUUGUGUAGUGAGUGGGUAAGGCCAAGAAGUGAGUGUACUGGGACAGACAGUCACAGAUCAUCCAAAUUACAGUGUGGCAAGCAGAUGGAAGUAAGUGUGUAAUGAAGUCCAUAGAGAUGUCUGCCCAGACUUGAUCUGGUAUAGGCAGGGGUUGAAUUAAUCCUUGUGGUUUUUCUGGCAGGUACUUAUUUUGUUGAUACACCGAGCAAUGUUGUAUGAACUCCUUGGUGUCUCUUGUCAAUCCUGGCCAAUAGAAGGAUGCAGCUACCUUGGACAUUAUGGGUUUCACCCGAGAGUGUCCCCCUAUGGGUGAAUCGUGAAACUCGAUGAUAAUGCGCCUGCAGAAAUCUUGAGUUUGGGGAAGAAAAAUCUGGUUGCGGAAGAAGAGUAGGCCUUGGCUAGUGGAGAAUUGACUGGGUAAUGGUUGGUUGCUGGUGAGUGACAGUAUUAAAUUUUUGCCCUCUUUGGUGUUGAAGUAUUGUUGUAACUCUUUGAAUAUGAUGGGGAUCGGUGAGGAGACAGCUAACAAUACCAAGAGGGGUGGCGGCUCUUGGCGGGAUAGUGCAUCAGCCACAACAUUGUGUUUUCCAGGUUUGUAAAUUAUUUUAAAGUCAUACCCUUGGAGUUUUGUUGUCCACUUUUGUUGUUCUGGUGUCUGGAUUGUUUGUGAUAGCAGUGUAUUGAGGCUCUUUUGAUCUAUGUAUAUUGUGAAAUGGUUCCCUAACAAGUAUUGACGCCAUUUUUUUACUGCUUCUGUGAUUGCAUACAUCUCUCUCACAUACACUGAUGCUGCUUGGAGACGGGGACACAUCUUUUUGCUGAAAAAGGCGAUUGGGUGACUAGCUUGGUUGAGGACUGCUCCGACGGCCACUGCGGAGGCAUCAGUGUCUACCACAAAAGGUUGUGUGAAAUUUGGAAGAUGUAGGUUAGGGACUUUAGCUAUUUCCGCCUUCACUGUUGUAAAUGCCUGUUGUGUCGUGUUUGGCCAUGUAAAUUUUUGACAAUGUAAUAAAUCGGUGAGAGGAGCGGCGAGAGUGGCGUAAUCACAAACGAAUUUUCUGUAAAAUCCGGUGAGGCCGAGGAAUGCUCUUAAAGUUGUGAGUGACCGUGGUUGUGACCAUUUUGUGAUUGCCUUUAUUUUUUCUGGGUCAGGGGCCACUCCAGCUUGGGAAAUGAUGUGGCCCAAGUAACUGACUUUUGAAGUAGCAAAACUGCAUUUAGAAAGCUUAGCAAACAAUAGAUGUGUUUGUAACAAUUUCAGAAUAAGCUCGAAAUGGAGCAAAUAGUUAUGCAGUGUGGGGCUGUAAAUAAGAAUGUCAUAAAAAAAACUAAAACAAACCAUCUAAGAAAAGGUCGUAAUAGAUCAUUCAUGGUUGCUUGAAAUGUGGAGGGAGCAUUAGUCAAACCAAAAGGCAUAACUAGAAAUUCAUAGUGUUCAUUUAUGGUCCUGAAGGCUGGUUUGUGAGUGUCAUUUGGGUUGGGCCUAAUUUGGUGGUACCCUGAGAAUAGGUCAAUUUUGGUAAAAAUUGUAGCUGACCCCAAUUCAUCUAGCAAUUCAUCAAUAAUGGGUAUGGGAAAGCGGUCACGGAUGGUGACUGCAUUGAAUGCCCGAUAAUCAACACAAAAGCGCCAUGUCUCGUCUUUCUUUUUGAUGAGCAGGAUUGGGGAUGAAAAAGGGCUGGUACUGGGUUUGAUGAACGCUUCCUACAACAUCUCUGCAAUUAAGUGGGUGAUUGUGUGUUUUUAAGAAUGGGGGUAUCUGUACGGGCGUACAUUAACUGGACCAGUUUUGGGUAAGAGGGGAAUAUGGUGGUCAUGGGGUCUUGGUGGGGGUAGACCGUGGGGUAGUUUGAAGAUGGACCUGUGUUUGCGUAGGAUAGUUUGAAUGGACUGGAGUAAUUGGUAAAGUGGGGAGGAUGGUGUUUGUAAGCUAGUUUCCAGGGAAAUUGGAAUCAUGGAAUGUGUGUUAAUUGAUAAUAAAUGAAGUGAAGCAAUGGUGUGGUCGGAAAUGUUGUGGCAAAGUUGAUGGUACGUAUCUUGUGUUGGGGUUGGUGGGUUUAUUGUUGUGAGGGUGAUUUGUUUAUUGAGGUGGGUGAAGGCCAUGCCGGGAAUUGCAAAAUCUGCUUGAAUGGGGCCCAAAGUGCGCAACCAUUCAAUUCCUAGAACUACAUCAACACCCUCUAUAGGUAAAAGACAGAAGGGAAUCGUGAAAACUGAGUUUUGGAGAGAUAUAUGUACCUCUGGACAAAUGCCUUGACAUGUUAUGAAGGCACCGCUUCACCAUAACUCGAAAAGGUGGGCUGGGCUGAAUGGGUAGGUGUAAAUGUUUGGCAAUGUGAGGUUGAAGGAUGUUGUGUGAGCUGCCAAAGUCUAUGAGAACAGUAACUGGUAAAUUAUGAUGGUGUGGUCGGAAAUGUUGUGGCAAAGUUGAUGGUACGUAUCUUGUGUUGGGGUUGGUGGGUUUAUUGCUGUGAGGGUGAUUUGUUUAUUGAGGUGGGUGAAGGCCAUGCUGGGGAUUGCAAAAUCUGCUUGAAUGGGGCCCAAAGUGCGCAACCAUUCAAUUCCUAGAACUACAUCAGCACCCUCUAUAGGUAAAAGAUAGAAGGGAAUCGUGAAAACUGAGUUUUGGAGAGAUAUAUGUACCUCUGAACAAAUGCCUUGACAUGUUAUGAAGGCACCGUUUCCCACCAUAACUCGAAAAGGUGGGCUGGGCUGAAUGGGUAGGUGUAAAUGUUUAGCAAUGUGAGGUUGAAGGAUGUUGUGUGAGCUGCCAAAGUCUAUGAGAACAGUAACUGAUAAAUUAUGGAUGAGACCUUGGACCUUUAGAGUUUGAGGGGAAAAUUUUCCUGUGAGAGCAUAGGGAGAUAGGUGGAAAUGAACCAUAUCUUCUGUCUGGUCAAGAUCUGGAGGGGUGUGUAGAAUUUCAGGGACUGGUUCUGUGUCAUCUAAGAGGAGGAGAAAACGUGAUAUGGAGCAUUUAUGACCUGGUAGAAAUUUCUCAUCACAGUUAUAACAUAGGCCAAGAGCUCUGUGUUCUUGCAUUUGGGUGGGACUGAGGCGUUUAAUUGGAAGGGUAUGAGGUGUGGGUUGAUGCUUUGAGAUCGGUUAAUGUUGGUGUUGAUGGGAUUCAAAACAGUGGUUUAUGUAGGGGGUCGGGUUGGUUUAGGUUUGGAAUCUUUAAUUUUGUCUUCAAUAAGCUUAGCUAGGCCAAUAGCUUGUGGGAUGGAAUAAGGGUUCAGGAUUGCAAGUUCUCUCCGGAUCUCAAGGUUGAGACCUGAUAUGAAGCAGUUAAGGAUGGUUUCUGAACUUAAGCCAUGGACACAAAUGCAUAAUUUUUCAAAUCUGGUUUGGUAGUCCGUGACUGUGGUUUGUUGGUGGAGUUUGAAAAGUUCAGCUUGAUGGUUUGUGUAUGAGGAAAACCCAAAACGUAAUUCUAAGGAACGUGUGAAGGAUGACCAAUCAAUAAUAAGAUGAUUUUGGUGCAUCCAUUUAAACCAGCUAAGGGCUUCCCCUCUCAUGUGAAAAGGAACCAUGGAUAAUCUAUUUUCUGGGGAAAUGUGAUAAAAGUUGAAGUAUUGUUCUGCUUGGAACAGCCAGUCCAGGGGGUCGGAUCCUUCAAAAAAAGUAAGUUGGAGUUUGGGUGGUUUGAUUGGUGGAAGAGGCGGGGGCACGGUGGUGGUUUGUUCAUGUGAACUAAUAAAUGGUGAUGAUUGAGGAAUAGGAAUAGUGGAAACCUAGUCCUGCAACACCGUAAUGGAAGAAUGAAGGAAAUCAUUCCUUGCCUCAAGGUUGGACUGACGAGCUUCAUUAGCCUCCAUUUGAGACUGGAUGGAAGUGAGGCAGUCCUGGAUGGCCUGAAGAAUGUCUUCCAAUUCUUUGGGUAUAAGUUUGGGAGGCAUGGAGAAAGUCGAUGAAAGCACCAAUGUUAGGGUAUGCCGCAAUAUCUACCUUGCUAACAAAUACUCAGGGAAUUAAUAUUAGGGUAAAAUUGUUCUCUCCUUUAUUUCCGAAAACAACAUCACUUAUAUAGUGAUGUUUAGGGUUACAAAAUUUGGGCUUUUAUAUGAGCCCCUUAACAUUUACUAUUAGCACUACCCUAAUUCCUUAUGAAGUCCCUCAUCCAAAAGGGUUGUUUGGUUUGUCUAUUGGGCCUCCUUGAGACAUUGGACUCUUCUCUAUCAUUAGAACACUGACGUCGUGCGAAACGAAAAUUUGUUCUGAACCCUUCAACUAGAGAGAAACCACCCCCUUAAACCUCGAUGGGGGGUUUGUUCAUAAUUAACCGAGUUGUUAAAAAAAUACUUAAAGUUGCCUACAAAAUUAAAUUGUUUAAAAUAAAAAUCACAUUAUUGUUUUAUUAAUUUUAAUUUUAAAAAUUACUCUUAGAUAAAAAAAAAUAUUAGAUUAAAUUAAAGUAUAAAAUAUAAUAUUAAAAAAUAUGCUUCAAACUGUUUUAAAAUUUGGUUUAACUUUACAAUAGUUAAAAUAAUUAGAUUUAAUUACUGCACUUUUUACUAACGCGUGGAUCUUUUAGGAAUGAAAUUAAGUGUUUAUUUUACUGCGUCACAUUUUCUCAAAUUCACUAGGUGAAACACUAGUUCCACUUACAUAAUAAAUGUACCGGUAGUAAUAUGUUGACAUAAAAAAAAUAUACACUUAACAAAUAAAUAAAUUAAUAUUUUAAUUAUAUUUAAUUUACUUUUAAUUUAAAAUAUUAUUAUAUUAUUAUAAUGUAGUUUGUGAAUUAUAUGUAUUUUACUUUUUAAUGUCAAUAAAAUAUUUUUCUAAAUGUACAACGGGCCGAGAUGUACUAUUCAGAACAUUUUAGAUAUGUAGCUCCUUCAAUUUUCAUAGAUCUUGUACUUCGUAUAAGAUUAAUACAUUAAUUAUCAAUAUUUAUGUUAAUAUAAAUGUAUUAGCAUAAAAAUAUAAGCUAUCUUUAUAAAAAUGAACAAUAUUAUGUUAAAAUACAUAUUCAAUAAUAUUUAUUAUCUUUAAUUAUAAAAUAUUUAAAAUUAACUUGAGUAUGAGGUAACCUUCUUCAAGAACCUACAGAUAGCUAAAUACAGAGAACUGUUAGAAGCACACAUAAAAAAAAUCUGAAGUGUAUGCACAACGAAAGAGAUAUGAUCUACUAAAUCCAUAAAAAGUUACAGGACAAUAAAGUUUUAUUCCCUUCACAUAUAAAAAAAUAUUAUUUUAUUAAAAAAAUUAUUAAGUGAUUGUUUUUUACUUUUAGAGAGUAUGAAAGAAACUUCAUUCAAAAUUAUAAAUUUUUUAUUAAUGUAAUGUCUAUUUGACUUAUCAGAUUAAGAUUUUUUUUUUUUAAUCAGACACCAUUCUUUUUAACUUUUAAAAUUGUUGGGGGAAUUCCGGAAGAUGCAAUUUUACAAGUGAGAUAAAUUCAACUUAUAUUAUAAGAAUAAGUUACUUAAAUAAAAGGGUACUGUUAUAUUGAUACCACAUAGUAAUAAACACACUGUAAUUAACACUUACUUUGACACCACACAGUAAUAAAUUGACAAGCCAAUAAAUUAAUAUUUUAAUUAUAUUUAAUUUAAACAUUAUUAUAUUAUUAUAAUGGAUUUCAAUUAUAUGUGUUUUACGUUUUUGGGUGUAAAAAAAAUAUUUUCCUAAAUAAAAUUGAUAUUAAUAACUUUUAGUUAACAACUUCAAUAGGUAUUAAUAAACUGAGUGGUUGAGGUUAUAAAUAAUGGGUUGUGUUGUCCCCAGAUAAACUAAAAAACACUGGAGAAUGCAGUCAAGUAAGCCAUGCAUAUCAGACAACUCAAGCUGGCAUAGUUGAUAAAUCAGAUACAAUUCACAUGGCAGGAUAAAUAUUUUAUAUAUGUCUCUCUUUACUCGAAGUUUAACAUGAAGCAACAGACCCCAACUACUUCUUUUGUACUUUGAUUUAUUAUUGCCCCAAGUACUGCUUAAUCAUUAAUUUAAGCAAUUCAAAAAAUUAUCCUACUCAGCACUGCAUAUAUACACACGCACAGGCACACUAGCAUAAUUUAUACUUACUGCAAAUGACUGAGAAACUCAAUUCACACUCACCAUAGCUAGCAGUUUAGCACUGCAUAAUCUAAUACUGUUUUUUGAUUCUAGCUACAUGCAUAAUCAUGCCCACAUAGUUUAUAUAAUUUAAUAGGGUCGCUCUCCAACAUAAUUGCCCACGGGAUCAUAAUUACAAGUCAUGAACACAUCUCCAUCAUCGCAUACAACUCGUGCACAUCCAAUUCUUCUGGUGCUCUUCCACACUAUCUGAGUGUAAUGGCCACACAUCUGACCNNNNN
This 7244-nucleotide long non-coding RNA is filed under the name Phaseolus vulgaris (common bean). Its description in RNAcentral is "long non-coding RNA (PVUL_LNC004072)". The record is from RNAcentral. Lineage: Eukaryota; Viridiplantae; Streptophyta; Magnoliopsida; Fabales; Fabaceae.